Long non-coding RNA from Oncorhynchus keta (chum salmon), 3004 nucleotides. RefSeq lists it as uncharacterized. NCBI's taxonomy places the organism in Eukaryota, Metazoa, Chordata, Actinopteri, Salmoniformes, Salmonidae. The transcript has 11 exons. The record is from RefSeq and is a predicted model, not a curated record.
CAGCAAGCAAUGCAGGUGUAGAAGCACGGUGGCUAGGAAAAACUCCCAAGAAAGGCCAAAACCUAGGAAAAACCUAGAGAGGAACCAGGCUAUGAGAGGUGGCCAGUCCUCUUCUGGCUGUGCCGGGUGGAGAUUAUAAGAGAACAUGGCCAACAUCUUAAAAUGAUCAUAAAUUACCAGCAUGGUCAAAUAAUAAUAAUCACAGUAGUUAUUGAGGGUGGAACAAGUCAGCACCUCAGGAGUAAAUGUCAGUUGGCUUUUCAUAGCCGAUCAUUAAGAGUAUCUCUACGACUCCUGCUGUCUCUAGAAAGUUGAAAACAGGAGGUCUGGGACAGGUAGCACAUCCGGUGAACAGGUCAGGGUUCCAUAGCCGCAGGCAGAACAGUUAAAACUGGAGCAGCAGCACGGCCAGGUGGACUGGGGACAGCAAGGAGUCAUCAUGCCAGGUAGUCCUGAGGCAUGGUCCUAGGGUUCAGGUCCUCCGAGAGAGAGAAAGAGAGAAUUAGAGAGAGCAUACUUAAAUUCACACAGGACACCGGAUAAGACAGGAGAAAUACUCCAGAUAUAACAGACUGACCCUAGCCCCCCGACACAUAAACUACUGCAGCAUAAAUACUGGAGGCUGAGAUAGGAGGGGUCAGGAGACACUAUGGCCCCAUCCGAUGACACUCCCAGACAGGGCCAAACAGGCAGGAUAUAACCCCGCCCAUUUUACCAAAGCACAGCCCCACACCACUAGAGGGAUAUCUUCAACCACCAACUUACCAUCCUGAGACAAGGCAGAGUAUAGCCCACAAAGAUCUCCGCCACGGCACCACCCAAGGGGCGCCAGGCGGGGUUGAUGGGGGAAGCUGGACCGCCAGGCUUGUCUGGAUUGGAAGUAGGUUUGAAGUAGACUGGGAGGCAUUAAAGACAAACCCCAUAUUGGUUUGGAAAACUGUUAUUGCUCAGUACUCACAAUGUCUAUAAUGGCUUUGUAGAAUACUCUAUCAACCUGUUAUUGUUACAGGGUGUUCCAGGUCCUUUUGGAUGGGCUGGGGCUGAUGGACCACAAGGGUAGAAGGUAUGAUAUAGGGGGACAAAGGCCCUUAUGGUGUGGUAGGGGAUUCUGGAAACGCAGGCCUUAAGGGCGUGUCAGGAAGAAGAGGAUUGAAGGGUGACAUGGGAAAAUCUGGACCAAAGGGGCCAGAGGGUCUGCUGGGCAACAGAGGGCCCCAGGCGUCCCCUGGAUUGGAGGGUGUGUCUGGUGAGGCUGGGCUUCAGGGAGCAGUUGGCCUACCAGGACCUCUGGGACCAAAAGGUCGACCAGGCCCUGAGGGGAGACAAGGCCAGAAAGGUCAAAAGGGCAAUGAUGGUCGAAGUGGGAAUCCAGGAAAGACGGGACACAUCGUGAGGAGGGUCAGAAUGAAGCCAUGCCUUUUUCACAUAUUACAAUUUCUCAUUUCAAUGUAUAUGGGUCUUGAUUCUUGAUUCUAAAAUCUGUUUAUGUUACCAUGUAAGGGGAAAAUAGGGAAAUCUGGAAGCAGAGGCUGAAGAGGAGGGAGAGGAGAAAAGGUCAUCACUAUUGACUGAGAGACAUUCGGGCCUGAUUAUGCACUAGCCAUACCAUACAGUAUCAUGUGUCUUUAACCUUUAAAACACUGCUAAUGGUUUGCAGCGGUGAGAUCUUGUGUAAAGGUCAACAGGGUAUAACAUUUUUCUAUAGAUUGAACCUUUUCUUUGAAUUACAGGGAAAGAGGGGAGAUUUUAGUUCAACCAGACCUCCAGGAAGACAAGGGCCUUACGGGACACGUGGCAUACAAGGAGAGAAGGGUGAAAUGGGUGAACCAGGAGUCGAGGGAGAGAAGGAAGAGAUGGGACGGACAGACCCUCCUGCUGUUCAGGGGCUGGGACACAAGGCCCUUUGGGAGAGCCAGGGAGCGAUGACAUUAAAGGAGAACAGGGAGACAUUGGUCCUCAUGGGGGGUGGGGGACCCCAGGUCUAACUGGACUUCCUGUGACUUUCAGUGAUAUGCUAUUGCUAUUUCCUUGACUUUUCUGAAAAUAAAGUAGGAUUUUUAUUACAGAGAAUAAUUCAAUUCUAACGUGAUUCCUUUUCUCUGUCUAUAGGGUUUGUUUGGAGAAAUGGUAUAUUACUCUAAAUACAAAUACCUGCAUGUGUUCCGUCUUUUUUAAUGCAUACCUUGAUGUGUUCUGUACAUUUAUUAUGUGGAGAUUGGUGGAUUGACUGAGGGCACAGACUAAAUGGACUAUUCACCAGAAUAUCAGGGUCUAAAAGGAUUUGCCGGAAAAUCAGGUCCUGUUGGAGUGAGAGGCCUGCCUGUGAGUAUGACCUUCCUCGCGUCACCCCACAUUACCAGCUGCGUUACCUCUAUUUAAUGAAAUAAAAAGGAUUCCUGACCCAAUCUACAUUUUAGUCAUUUAGUAAACAUGCAUAUCCAGAGCGACGUACAAUUAGUGCAUUCAUCUUGAGAUAGCUACAUGUAGGUGGGACAUAUCUCAGUCAUAGUAAGGUUCAGAGAGGGGCAGGGACUCUGCAGGGACUCUGCUGUCCUAGGCAUCAGGGUAAGCUGGCUCCGCCAUUGGGGUGCCAGGACAGAGAAGAACACUGACUGGGCUGACCGGGAGCUGACCUCUUGUGGCAGAACGAAGUGCUCGGGUGUGUUGGGAUGUAGGGUUUGAGCAUAGCCUGAAGGUAGGAAGCAUCCCGGGCAGUGAGUUUAACUUUCAUAUUGUGCUUGUUUUUCCUUUUAUAUAUCAGGACCUCCUGGAACCUCUCUGAACCUUACUCUGAACCUUACUCUGAACCUUACCUUACUCUGAACCUUACUCUGAACCUUACUCUGAACCUUACUCUGAACCUUACUCUGAACCCUACCUUACUCUGAACCUUACUCUGAACCUUACUCUGAACCUUACUCUGAACCUUACUCUGAACCUUACUCUGAACCUUACCUUACUCUGGCACAGAUCAAGGCAAGUUGUUGGUAAUCUGUCAAAGCAA